RNAcentral lists this ribosomal RNA (477 nucleotides) under uncultured bacterium. RNAcentral's name for it is "partial 16S ribosomal RNA". It matches the Rfam family "Bacterial small subunit ribosomal RNA", at positions 28 to 523 of the family's 1533-position model. The record is from RNAcentral.
GACGAACGCUGGCGGCGUGCUUAACACAUGCAAGUCGAACGGUAAGGCCCUUCGGGGUACACGAGUGGCGAACGGGUGAGUAACACGUGGGUGAUCUGCCCUGCACUUCGGGAUAAGCCUGGAAACUGGGUCUAAUACCGGAUAGGACCACUGCCUGCAUGGGUGGGGGUGGAAAGCUUUUGCGGUGUGGGAUGGGCCCGCGGCCUAUCGGCUUGUUGGUGGGGUGAUGGCCUACCAAGGCGACGACGGGUAGCCGGCCUGAGAGGGUGACCGGCCACCCUGGGACUGAGAUACGGCCCAGACUCCUACGGGAGGCAGCAGUGGGGAAUAUUGCACAAUGGGCGCAAGCCUGAUGCAGCGACGCCGCGUGAGGGAUGACGGCCUUCGGGUUGUAAACCUCUUUCAGCACCGACGAAGCGCAAGUGACGGUAGGUGCAGAAGAAGGACCGGCCAACUACGUGCCAGCCGCCGCAGUAA